RNAcentral lists this ribosomal RNA (762 nucleotides) under Opecoelidae sp. ZCCK 040. Its description in RNAcentral is "SSU rRNA". It matches the Rfam family "Eukaryotic small subunit ribosomal RNA", at positions 221 to 906 of the family's 1831-position model. The record is from RNAcentral. Lineage: Eukaryota; Metazoa; Platyhelminthes; Trematoda; Plagiorchiida; Opecoelidae.
GGGUGUGGCCUCGGUCGCAUCCGUCUUGCUCUGUGAUGACUCUGGAUAACUUUACCGAUCGCAGUCGGCCUCGUGUCGGCGAUGGAUCUUUCAAAUGUCUGUCUUAUCAAUUUACGAUGGUAGGUGACCUGCCUACCACGGUGAUAACGGGUAACGGGGAAUCAGGGUUCGAUUCCGGAGAAGGAGCCUGAGAGACGGCUACUACUUCCAAGGAAGGCAGCAGGCGCGCAAAUUACCCACUCCCAGAACGGGGAGGUAGUGACGAAAAAUACGGAUACGGGACUCAAAAGAGGCUCCGUAAUUCGAAUGAGUACAAUUUAAAUCCUUUAACGAGGAUCAACUGGAGGGCAAGUCUGGUGCCAGCAGCCGCGGUAAUUCCAGCUCCAGUGGCAUAUAUUAAAGUUGUUGCAGUUAAAAAGCUCGUAGUUGGAUCUGGGUGGGAUGGCUGUGCGCUGUGCUUGCAUUCUCGGUCUGGUUCUACCGGGUCGGGUUGGUGAGUCGGUGUUGCGGUCGUUCUAUCUUUCUGCCGUGUCUGUGCAAACAGGUGCUGACUUCGGUUGGCAUGCUCCCGGAUGCCUUUCAACGGGUGUCGGGGGCGGACGGCAUGUUUACUUUGAACAAAUUUGAGUGCUCAAAGCAGGCCGGUGAGCCUGAAAAGUCUUGCAUGGAAUAAUGGAAUAGGACUUCGGUCCUAUUUUGUUGGUUUUCGGAUCCGAAGUAAUGGUUAAGAGGGACAGACGGGGGCAUUUGUAUGGCGGCGUU